UCAAACUUGGUCAUUUAGAGGAAGUAAAAGUCGUAACAAGGUUUCCGUAGGUGAACCUGCGGAAGGAUCAUUACCGAGUCCCGCCCGCGAGGGCGACCUCCCACCCCUGCCUAACACGCUGACGUUGUUGCCUCGGCGGGCCCCCCGCCAGGCGCCCCCAAACCCGAACCCUCUGUCGUGCUGUGUCUGAGUCCCUAAACCGAACACAACCUUCAACAAUGGAUCUCUUGGCUCCAGCAUCGAUGAAGAACGCAGC
This 256-nucleotide unclassified non-coding RNA is filed under the name uncultured fungus. RNAcentral's name for it is "partial contains small subunit ribosomal RNA, internal transcribed spacer 1, and 5.8S ribosomal RNA". The stretch from base 1 to 73 matches the Rfam family "Eukaryotic small subunit ribosomal RNA", at positions 1759 to 1831 of the family's 1831-position model. The record is from RNAcentral. Lineage: Eukaryota; Fungi.